UUUUGGAAUGUGGAUAUGAGGUAUCGUUUUCUUGGUGUGUUGGGGGACGAGAAGGAAGUGAAAGAAAGUUGGAAACAACAGCCACAUUCCGUAACAUUGACACUGGACGGGUUGACGGUAUCCGUGUUUAAUACAGUAGCACACUGGAAAUACUUGCUCGAUCAGGCUGUUUAUGAUGAAGUUUCAAAACCAGUGAGGAAUGGCUACAGGUCUACCAUAUGCGGACUUCUUCGAUUCAUACGAAAUGUGGA
This is a long non-coding RNA of Lingula anatina, 251 nucleotides long. The record is from RefSeq and is a predicted model, not a curated record. Lineage: Eukaryota; Metazoa; Brachiopoda; Lingulata; Lingulida; Lingulidae.